AACGAACGCUGGCGGCAUGCCUAACACAUGCAAGUCGAACGAGACCUUCGGGUCUAGUGGCGCACGGGUGCGUAACGCGUGGGAACCUGCCCUUAGGUUCGGAAUAACUCCCCGAAAGGGGUGCUAAUACCGGAUAAUGUCUUCGGACCAAAGAUUUAUCGCCUUUGGAUGGGCCCGCGUUGGAUUAGCUAGUUGGUAGGGUAAAAGCCUACCAAGGCGACGAUCCAUAGCUGGUCUGAGAGGAUGAUCAGCCACACUGGGACUGAGACACGGCCCAGACUUCCGCGAGAGGCAGCAGUGGGAAAUAGUAGACAAGGGGCGAAAGUGUGAGCCAGCGAUGCCGAGUGAGUGGUGAAGGCCUGAGGGUUAAAAAGCUCUUACCCGGGAUGAUAAUGACAGUACCGGGAGAAUAAGCUCCGGCUAACUCCGUG
This 431-nucleotide ribosomal RNA is filed under the name uncultured bacterium. RNAcentral describes it as "partial 16S ribosomal RNA". It matches the Rfam family "Bacterial small subunit ribosomal RNA", at positions 29 to 507 of the family's 1533-position model. The record is from RNAcentral.